Mustela putorius furo (domestic ferret) is the source of this 111-nucleotide small nuclear RNA. The record is from Ensembl. Lineage: Eukaryota; Metazoa; Chordata; Mammalia; Carnivora; Mustelidae.
GUGCUCACUUCAGCAGCACAUAUACUAAAACUGGAACGAUCGAUACAGAGAAGACUAGCAUGGCCCCAGUGCAAGGAUGACAAACAAAUUCAUGAAGCAUUCCAUAUUAAA